Molecule: ribosomal RNA, 400 nt
Filed under: Chloroparva pannonica
Lineage: Eukaryota; Viridiplantae; Chlorophyta; Trebouxiophyceae; Chlorellales; Chlorellaceae
Description: partial small subunit ribosomal RNA
Rfam family: Eukaryotic small subunit ribosomal RNA
Source: RNAcentral
GCUUGUCUCAAAGAUUAAGCCAUGCAUGUCUAAGUGUAAAUAAGUCUAUACUGUGAAACUGCGAAUGGCUCAUUAUAUCAGUUAUAGUUUAUUUGAUGGUUCUUGCUACUUGGAUAACCGUAGUAAUUCUAGAGCUAAUACGUGCGUAAAUCCCGACUUCUGGAAGGGACGUAUUUAUUAGAUAAAGGCCGACCGGGCUCUGCCCGACUCGCGGUGAAUCAUGAUAACUUCACGAAUCGCACGGCCUCGUGCCGGCGAUGUUUCAUUCAAAUUUCUGCCCUAUCAACUUUUGAUGGUAGGAUAGAGGCCUACCAUGGUGGUAACGGGUGACGGAGGAUUAGGGUUCGAUUCCGGAGAGGGAGCCUGAGAAACGGCUACCACAUCCAAGGAAGGCAGCAGG